CGAGCUAAUACCGCGAAAGUUGAGCGUUCACGCUUAUCGGCUGUAAAUCAAGACAGACUCAGGGGUCUGUAGCUCAGUCGGUUAGAGCACCGUCUUGAUAAGGCGGGGGUCGUUGGUUCGAAUCCAACCAGACCCACCAAUUGUCUGGCGGUAGAAACCUGAGAGGUCUCUGUAUGGGGGCAUAGCUCAGCUGGGAGAGCACCUGCUUUGCAAGCAGGGGGUCGUCGGUUCGAUCCCGUCUGCCUCCACCAAUCUUCAAUGACAAAUGUUCGAGUCAGUUGACUCGAGUCU
This 291-nucleotide unclassified non-coding RNA is filed under the name Burkholderia gladioli. Its description in RNAcentral is "partial 16S-23S ribosomal RNA intergenic spacer". The stretch from base 63 to 136 matches the Rfam family "tRNA". The record is from RNAcentral. Lineage: Bacteria; Pseudomonadati; Pseudomonadota; Betaproteobacteria; Burkholderiales; Burkholderiaceae.